CACGUAAGUUGCGAGCGUUGUUCGGAAUUGUUGGGCGUAAAGGGCAUGUAGGCGGAUUUGCAAGCUUGAUGUGAAAUCCCGCAGCUUAACUGCGGAACUGCAUUGGGAACUGCAAGACUAGAGUUACUGAGGGGAAACUAGAAUUCCAAGUGUAGGGGUGAAAUCUGUAGAUAUUUGGAAGAAUACCAAUGGCGAAGGCAAGUUUCUGGCAGAUAACUGACGCUGAGGUGCGAAGGUGCGGGGAGCAAACAGG
This 253-nucleotide ribosomal RNA is filed under the name uncultured bacterium. Its description in RNAcentral is "partial 16S ribosomal RNA". It matches the Rfam family "Bacterial small subunit ribosomal RNA", at positions 524 to 776 of the family's 1533-position model. The record is from RNAcentral.